This 1519-nucleotide ribosomal RNA is filed under the name Salmonella enterica subsp. enterica serovar Oranienburg. Its description in RNAcentral is "bacterial SSU rRNA". It matches the Rfam family "Bacterial small subunit ribosomal RNA". RNAcentral also lists the same sequence under 7 other names. The record is from RNAcentral. Lineage: Bacteria; Pseudomonadati; Pseudomonadota; Gammaproteobacteria; Enterobacterales; Enterobacteriaceae.
GAAGAGUUUGAUCAUGGCUCAGAUUGAACGCUGGCGGCAGGCCUAACACAUGCAAGUCGAACGGUAACAGGAAGCAGCUUGCUGCUUUGCUGACGAGUGGCGGACGGGUGAGUAAUGUCUGGGAAACUGCCUGAUGGAGGGGGAUAACUACUGGAAACGGUGGCUAAUACCGCAUAACGUCGCAAGACCAAAGAGGGGGACCUUCGGGCCUCUUGCCAUCAGAUGUGCCCAGAUGGGAUUAGCUUGUUGGUGAGGUAACGGCUCACCAAGGCGACGAUCCCUAGCUGGUCUGAGAGGAUGACCAGCCACACUGGAACUGAGACACGGUCCAGACUCCUACGGGAGGCAGCAGUGGGGAAUAUUGCACAAUGGGCGCAAGCCUGAUGCAGCCAUGCCGCGUGUAUGAAGAAGGCCUUCGGGUUGUAAAGUACUUUCAGCGGGGAGGAAGGUGUUGUGGUUAAUAACCGCAGCAAUUGACGUUACCCGCAGAAGAAGCACCGGCUAACUCCGUGCCAGCAGCCGCGGUAAUACGGAGGGUGCAAGCGUUAAUCGGAAUUACUGGGCGUAAAGCGCACGCAGGCGGUCUGUCAAGUCGGAUGUGAAAUCCCCGGGCUCAACCUGGGAACUGCAUUCGAAACUGGCAGGCUUGAGUCUUGUAGAGGGGGGUAGAAUUCCAGGUGUAGCGGUGAAAUGCGUAGAGAUCUGGAGGAAUACCGGUGGCGAAGGCGGCCCCCUGGACAAAGACUGACGCUCAGGUGCGAAAGCGUGGGGAGCAAACAGGAUUAGAUACCCUGGUAGUCCACGCCGUAAACGAUGUCUACUUGGAGGUUGUGCCCUUGAGGCGUGGCUUCCGGAGCUAACGCGUUAAGUAGACCGCCUGGGGAGUACGGCCGCAAGGUUAAAACUCAAAUGAAUUGACGGGGGCCCGCACAAGCGGUGGAGCAUGUGGUUUAAUUCGAUGCAACGCGAAGAACCUUACCUGGUCUUGACAUCCACAGAACUUUCCAGAGAUGGAUUGGUGCCUUCGGGAACUGUGAGACAGGUGCUGCAUGGCUGUCGUCAGCUCGUGUUGUGAAAUGUUGGGUUAAGUCCCGCAACGAGCGCAACCCUUAUCCUUUGUUGCCAGCGGUCCGGCCGGGAACUCAAAGGAGACUGCCAGUGAUAAACUGGAGGAAGGUGGGGAUGACGUCAAGUCAUCAUGGCCCUUACGACCAGGGCUACACACGUGCUACAAUGGCGCAUACAAAGAGAAGCGACCUCGCGAGAGCAAGCGGACCUCAUAAAGUGCGUCGUAGUCCGGAUUGGAGUCUGCAACUCGACUCCAUGAAGUCGGAAUCGCUAGUAAUCGUGGAUCAGAAUGCCACGGUGAAUACGUUCCCGGGCCUUGUACACACCGCCCGUCACACCAUGGGAGUGGGUUGCAAAAGAAGUAGGUAGCUUAACCUUCGGGAGGGCGCUUACCACUUUGUGAUUCAUGACUGGGGUGAAGUCGUAACAAGGUAACCGUAGGGGAACCUGC